RNAcentral lists this ribosomal RNA (453 nucleotides) under uncultured bacterium. RNAcentral's name for it is "partial 16S ribosomal RNA". It matches the Rfam family "Bacterial small subunit ribosomal RNA", at positions 341 to 792 of the family's 1533-position model. The record is from RNAcentral.
ACGGAAGGCAGCAGUGAGGAAUAUUGGUCAAUGGGCGGAAGCCUGAACCAGCCAAGUCGCGUGAAGGAAGAAGGUAUUAUGUAUUGUAAACUUCUUUAGACGCAGAGAAAUAAGGGGAUCGUGAUCCCUGAUGCUAGUAUGCGUAGAAUAAGGAUCGGCUAACUCCGUGCCAGCAGCCGCGGUAAUACGGAGGAUCCGAGCGUUAUCCGGAUUUAUUGGGUUUAAAGGGUGCGCAGGCGGUCUUUUAAGUCAGUGGUCAAAUCGUGAGGCUCAACCUCAUCACGCCAUUGAUACUGGAGGACUUGAUUGCGGUUGAGGUUGGCGGAAUUCGCCGUGUAGCGGUGAAAUGCAUAGAUAUGGCGAAGAACUCCGAUUGCGUAGGCAGCUGACCAGGCCGUAAAUGACGCUCAUGCACGAAAGUGCGGGGAUCGAACAGGAUUAGAUACCCUGGUA